CGAGCUUCAGCCGCAUGGCUAGGAGCUGGAAAGAAUUUCGGUCAAGGAUGGACUCGCGGCCUAUCAGCUAGUUGGUGAGGUAAUGGCUCACCAAGGCGACGACGGGUAGCCGGCCUGAGAGGGUGACCGGCCACACUGGGACUGAGACACGGCCCAGACUCCUACGGGANGCAGCAGUGGGGAAUAUUGCACAAUGGGCGCAAGCCUGAUGCAGCAACGCCGCGUGAGGGACGACGGCCUUCGGGUUGUAAACCUCUUUUAGAAGGGAAGAAGCGAAAGUGACGGUACCUGCAGAAAAAGCACCGGCUAACUACGUGCCAGCAGCCGCGGUAAUACGUAGGGUGCAAGCGUUAUCCGGAAUUAUUGGGCGUAAAGAGCUCGUAGGCGGUUUGUCGCGUCUGCUGUGAAAACUGGAGGCUCAACCUCCAGCCUGCAGUGGGUACGGGCAGACUAGAGUGCGGUAGGGGAGAUUGGAAUUCCUGGUGUAGCGGUGGAAUGCGCAGAUAUCAGGAGGAACACCGAUGGCGAAGGCAGAUCUCUGGGCCGUAACUGACGCUGAGGAGCGAAAGCAUGGGGAGCGAACAGGAUUAGAUACCCUGGUAGUCCAUGCCGUAAACGUUGGGAACUAGAUGUAGGGACCAUUCCACGGUUUCUGUGUCGCAGCUAACGCAUUAAGUUCCCCGCCUGGGGAGUACGGCCGCAAGGCUAAAACUCAAAGGAAUUGACGGAAUCGA
RNAcentral lists this ribosomal RNA (734 nucleotides) under uncultured bacterium. RNAcentral's name for it is "bacterial SSU rRNA". It matches the Rfam family "Bacterial small subunit ribosomal RNA", at positions 173 to 922 of the family's 1533-position model. The record is from RNAcentral.